GGAUUAGAUACCCCAUUAUGCUUAGCCUUAAACCUAAAUAAUUUCCUAACAAAAUUAUUCGCCAGAGAACUACAAGCCAGAGCUUAAAACUCAAAGGACUUGGCGGUGCUUUAUACCCGCCUAGAGGAGCCUGUUCUAUAAUCGAUAAACCCCGAUAAACCUUACCACUCUUUGCCAACUCAGCCUAUAUACCGCCAUCUUCAGCAAACCCUAAAAAGGAGCAAAAGUAAGCUUAAUCAUCACCAUAAAAACGUUAGGUCAAGGUGUAGCCUAUAGAGUGGAAAGUAAUGGGCUACAUUUUCUACUUUAGAACACACGAAAGCCCCUAUGAAACCCUAGGAGCCAAAGGAGGAUUUAGCAGUAAAUUAAGAAUAGAGUGCUUAAUUGAACAAGGCCAUGAAGCACGCACACACCGCCCGUCGCCCUCCUCA
Molecule: ribosomal RNA, 431 nt
Filed under: Lepus europaeus (European hare)
Lineage: Eukaryota; Metazoa; Chordata; Mammalia; Lagomorpha; Leporidae
Description: partial 12S ribosomal RNA
Rfam family: Bacterial small subunit ribosomal RNA
Source: RNAcentral